Molecule: ribosomal RNA, 586 nt
Filed under: Escherichia coli
Lineage: Bacteria; Pseudomonadati; Pseudomonadota; Gammaproteobacteria; Enterobacterales; Enterobacteriaceae
Description: bacterial SSU rRNA
Rfam family: Bacterial small subunit ribosomal RNA
Source: RNAcentral
AAAUUGAAGAGUUUGAUCAUGGCUCAGAUUGAACGCUGGCGGCAGGCCUAACACAUGCAAGUCGAACGGUAACAGGAAGCAGCUUGCUGCUUCGCUGACGAGUGGCGGACGGGUGAGUAAUGUCUGGGAAACUGCCUGAUGGAGGGGGAUAACUACUGGAAACGGUAGCUAAUACCGCAUAACGUCGAAAGACCAAAGAGGGGGACCUUCGGGCCUCUUGCCAUCGGAUGUGCCCAGAUGGGAUUAGCUUGUUGGUGGGGUAAUGGCUCACCAAGGCGACGAUCCCUAGCUGGUCUGAGAGGAUGACCAGCCACACUGGAACUGAGACACGGUCCAGACUCCUACGGGAGGCAGCAGUGGGGAAUAUUGCACAAUGGGCGCAAGCCUGAUGCAGCCAUGCCGCGUGUAUGAAGAAGGCCUUCGGGUUGUAAAGUACUUUCAGCGGGGAGGAAGGGAGUAAAGUUAAUACCUUUGCUCAUUGACGUUACCCGCAGAAGAAGCACCGGCUAACUCCGUGCCAGCAGCCGCGGUAAUACGGAGGGUGCAAGCGUUAAUCGGAAUUACUGGGCGUAAAGCGCACGCAGGC